This 537-nucleotide ribosomal RNA is filed under the name Hyla molleri. Its description in RNAcentral is "partial 16S ribosomal RNA". It matches the Rfam family "Bacterial large subunit ribosomal RNA", at positions 1629 to 2454 of the family's 2925-position model. Lineage: Eukaryota; Metazoa; Chordata; Amphibia; Anura; Hylidae. The record is from RNAcentral.
AAAAUUUAAUUUUUUUUAUGUUAACCUAACACAAGAGCAUUUCAAGUAAGAUUAAAAGAAAAAGAAGGAACUCGGCAAAUAUUAACCUCGCCUGUUUACCAAAAACAUCGCCUCUUGCCCCAAUAUAAGAGGUCCAGCCUGCCCAGUGACUCUGUUCAACGGCCGCGGUAUCCUAACCGUGCGAAGGUAGCGUAAUCACUUGUUCUUUAAAUGAGGACUAGUAUGAACGGCACCACGAGGGUUAUACUGUCUCCUUUUCCCAAUCAGUGAAACUAAUCUCCCCGUGAAGAAGCGAGGAUAAACAUAUAAGACGAGAAGACCCUAUGGAGCUUUAAACUCAAUAACACUUGCUUUUAAACAUAAAUACUUCAGAGUAAUAAACACCCAUUACGGCCUCCUGAUUAUUAGUUUUAGGUUGGGGUGACCGCGGAGCAAAAAACAGCCUCCACAUUGAACGGGGAACAUCCCCCUGAGCCACGAGCCACAACUCUAUGCACCAAUAAAUUGACAUCUCUUGACCCAAUAUAUUGAUCAACG